UCUAUAAAUAAAACAGCAGCUGCUUUGUGUGUUUGUGCAUUAGAGCAACGUUCUUCAGGGAGAUGCAGAGCUGGAGGAUACCAGCAAAGAGCAAGAGGAGCCACACGAGGAAACAUCUUUGCAUGAAGAAGAGCACCUGAUUGUCCUGGAUGAUACAGACGUCCCACAAACACCAUCAAGCACACUCCACGACCUCUGCUCGUCAGGAGAGGUCAAAGGUCAAGGUCAAGACGUGACUGUCAGUGAGCUUCUGCUGGACAAAGAGCCCUUGGAGCAGCAGAGCCAACAAAAUGCACAGAACAGGUGCGUCGUGGCUCGUUUUGCAUUCGAGGGGGAGGAGGGGGAGCUGUCCUUCACUGAGGGUGAUGUCAUCACUCUAAUGGAAUAUGUAAAUGAGGAGUGGGGGCGUGGCCUCCUGAACGGACAGAAGGGAAUCUUCCCUCUCAGUUUCGUCCAGGCUAUAGAGGAAACUGAAGCGUUGCCACGGAAACUGGCUCUGGACUCUCCUGCGCCCCCUGCAGGAGCGAGGAUCAGAGGACGAGCACUUUAUGAUUUCACUCCUGAGUGUGAGGACGAGCUCUGUCUGAAGGCAGGAGAUGUGGUGUGUGGUUUGGAGGACAUGGAUGCUGAGUGGUUCCUCGGAGAAUCCGGUGGGAAACGUGGCAUCAUCCC
Long non-coding RNA from Cyprinus carpio (common carp), 672 nucleotides. RefSeq lists it as uncharacterized. Lineage: Eukaryota; Metazoa; Chordata; Actinopteri; Cypriniformes; Cyprinidae. The record is from RefSeq and is a predicted model, not a curated record. The transcript is spliced from 5 exons.